This 484-nucleotide ribosomal RNA is filed under the name uncultured bacterium. Its description in RNAcentral is "partial 16S ribosomal RNA". It matches the Rfam family "Bacterial small subunit ribosomal RNA", at positions 30 to 507 of the family's 1533-position model. The record is from RNAcentral.
AUUGAACGCUGGCGGCAGGCCUAACACAUGCAAGUCGAGCGGAUGAAGGGAGCUUGCUCCUGGAUUCAGCGGCGGACGGGUGAGUAAUGCCUAGGAAUCUGCCUGGUAGUGGGGGAUAACGUCCGGAAACGGGCGCUAAUACCGCAUACGUCCUGAGGGAGAAAGUGGGGGAUCUUCGGACCUCACGCUAUCAGAUGAGCCUAGGUCGGAUUAGCUAGUUGGUGGGGUAAAGGCCUACCAAGGCGACGAUCCGUAACUGGUCUGAGAGGAUGAUCAGUCACACUGGAAGUUAGACACGGUCCAGACUCCUACGGGAGGCAGCAGUGGGGAAUAUUGGACAAUGGGCGAAAGCCUGAUCCAGCCAUGCCGCGUGUGUGAAGAAGGUCUUCGGAUUGUAAAGCACUUUAAGUGGGGAGGAAGGGCAGUAAGUUAAUACCUUGCUGUUUUGACGUUACCAACAGAAUAAGCACCGGCUAACUUCGUG